This 1358-nucleotide long non-coding RNA is filed under the name Bos indicus x Bos taurus (hybrid cattle). Its description in RNAcentral is "lncRNA (ENSBIXG00005030152.1)". The record is from RNAcentral. Lineage: Eukaryota; Metazoa; Chordata; Mammalia; Artiodactyla; Bovidae.
GUUAGUGGCUGGAGGGUGUGGGAGCUUGAUGCCUGGGGGCUUGAUUGGUGUUGGAUCUCCAUGCAAGACCCCACGGAGGUGUGCACUUUGGGGCUACACUGCUCUGCACGGUAAGGGGUGGUCGGGUUAUCUGGUCAGUGGUUAGUGAUCUCUGUGCUUCUGCAUUUGGUCACCCGGUUCUGUCCAGCCCUGGUCACCCACCUGUCUGUAAUCCAUCCACGUGGUCCUGGAUCUGGCCGGUCUGGAUGGGCCUAAUGUGUGGUUUCUGGCUUCUGGUCGGGGGUUUCCUGGCCUCAGAGUCCUGUGAUGAAUGACCCUGGUGGUCGAGACUCCUCACCUCCUGCUCAGCAGUGUCUUCCCUGACAUUCUGGGUCUGGACUGUGUCCCCCUAAAUCCACAUACUGUAGUCCUGGGCAGCCCCCGAGUGCUCGUACUUGGAGAUGUAGACUUUAGGAGGGUAAUAAGGCUAGAGAGGUGUAAGGGUGGGGCCCUGGUCUGAUGGAUUGCUGUCCCUACAGGAAGAGAGAGACCCCUGUGCUCUCGGCUCCCACAGAUAAGAGGCCGUGUGGGGACGGGGACAGAAGGUGACCACCUCCAAGCCACGAGGAGCUCUCUCACCAGAACCCACCCCCAAUGGACGGCACCUUGAUCUUGGAGCUCUGGCCUCCAAAACUGAGAAAAUACAUUUCUAUUAUUUAAGCCACCGAGGGCACUGUGGUUUGCUAUGGACACCCAAGCCGCCUGAGACACCACCACUCAGGGCUUCCCCUGCCCCGCAGGGCUGGGUGGAUGCCCUCUGCUCCCUCUGUGGCCUGGGGCAAGCAGCCCCCGCCCUCAAGGGCGGAGGGCAGCGGGUACCAGGUGAGACCGAAGGUGCUGGGCUCGAGGCCUGGCUCCCCAACUUGCUGGCCUUGCUACACAGCCUCCUGAAGCCUCAGUCUUCCCUUCUGCCAAGGGAUGGAGGUGAGGAUCCACCCCCGGAGAGCGCCAAGGACGUGGGAAAGCCUCAGCAAGGGCACACAGCAGUCCGAGCCCUCCGCAGAGGCCCCGAGGAGGGGCGGGCGUCAGUCUGCGGGACCUCAUCACAAGAUCUGAGUGGUGGUCAGCUUCUGCAGCAGGGAGGGCAGUCAGGAAAUCUGCCUGCUUGGGGUUGCUGGGAAGCGUCUGGAUUUUUAGGCUUGGUGACCACAAAUCUGGGUUCGGGGGAGUGGCUGCACAGACCCCGUUCUGGACCUUUUCUGCCUCUGUAUUUGAAGCCCAGACCACGACGGGCUACCGGCUCUGUAUCUUCCAACAGCAAAUAAAUACGUUGAUUAGAGUCACAACUCUCGGGGAGGUUGACACAGACUAUAUUUGUG